RNAcentral lists this ribosomal RNA (488 nucleotides) under uncultured bacterium. RNAcentral's name for it is "partial 16S ribosomal RNA". It matches the Rfam family "Bacterial small subunit ribosomal RNA", at positions 28 to 507 of the family's 1533-position model. The record is from RNAcentral.
GACGAACGCUGGCGGCGUGCUUAACACAUGCAAGUCGAACGGAAAGGCCCUGCUUUUGUGGGGUGCUCGAGUGGCGAACGGGUGAGUAACACGUGAGUAACCUGCCCUCGACUUUGGGAUAACUUCAGGAAACUGGGGCUAAUACCGGAUAGGAGCUCCUGCUGCAUGGUGGGGGUUGGAAAGUUUCGGCGGUUGGGGAUGGACUCGCGGCUUAUCAGCUUGUUGGUGGGGUAGUGGCUUACCAAGGCUUUGACGGGUAGCCGGCCUGAGAGGGGGACCGGCCACACGGGAACGGAGACACGGUCCAGAGUCGUAAGGGAGGCAGAAGGAGGGAAUCUGCAGCAAGGGGGGAAAGCCGGACGGAGAAACGCGGGGUGAGUGAGGAAGGUCUUCGGAUCGUAAAACUCUGGGAUUAGGGAAGAAAAAAGGUGGAAGUAACUAGGCACGUCGUGACGGUAACUAAUGAGAAAGAAACGGCUAACUACGUG